Molecule: signal recognition particle RNA, 97 nt
Filed under: Cellulomonas sp.
Lineage: Bacteria; Bacillati; Actinomycetota; Actinomycetes; Micrococcales; Cellulomonadaceae
Description: signal recognition particle sRNA small type
Rfam family: Bacterial small signal recognition particle RNA
About the family: The signal recognition particle (SRP) is a universally conserved ribonucleoprotein involved in the co-translational targeting of proteins to membranes.
Source: RNAcentral
ACAGACCCCUCGUGCGGCGUCACCCCACCGAACCCCCCCAGGGCCGGAAGGCAGCAAGGGUAGGUGGGCUCUGGCGGGUGCACGAGGGGUCCUUGUC